AGCGGCGGAUGGGUGAGUAACACGUGGGGAACCUGCCCCUAAGUCUGGGAUACCAUUUGGAAACAGGUGCUAAUACCGGAUAAUAAAGCAGAUCGCAUGAUCAGCUUUUGAAAGGCGGCGUAAGCUGUCGCUAAGGGAUGGCCCCGCGGUGCAUUAGCUAGUUGGUAAGGUAACGGCUUACCAAGGCGACGAUGCAUAGCCGAGUUGAGAGACUGAUCGGCCACAUUGGGACUGAGACAUGAUCCAAAUUUCUACGGGAGGCAGCAGUAGGGAAUCUUCCACAAUGGACGCAAGUCUGAUGGAGCAACGCCGCGUGAGUGAAGAAGGUUUUCGGAUCGUAAAGCUCUGUUGUUGGUGAAGAAGGAUAGAGGUAGUAACUGGCCUUUAUUUGACGGUAAUCAACCAGAAAGUCACGGCUAACUACGUGCCAGCAGCCGCGGUAAUACGUAGGUGGCAAGCGUUGUCCGGAUUUAUUGGGCGUAAAGCGAGCGCAGGCGGAAAAAUAAGUCUAAUGUGAAAGCCCUCGGCUUAACCGAGGAACUGCAUCGGAAACUGUUUUUCUUGAGUGCAGAAGAGGAGAGUGGAACUCCAUGUGUAGCGGUGGAAUGCGUAGAUAUAUGGAAGAACACCAGUGGCGAAGGCGGCUCUCUGGUCUGCAACUGACGCUGAGGCUCGAAAGCAUGGGUCGCGAACAGGAUUAGAUACCCUGGUAGUCCAUGCCGUAAACGAUGAGUGCUAAGUGU
This 743-nucleotide ribosomal RNA is filed under the name uncultured bacterium. RNAcentral's name for it is "bacterial SSU rRNA". It matches the Rfam family "Bacterial small subunit ribosomal RNA", at positions 94 to 823 of the family's 1533-position model. The record is from RNAcentral.